GGCUAACGCUGGCGGCGUGUCUUAGCCAUGCAAGUCGAGCGGACUUAUGGGGUAACUUAUAAGUCAGCGGCGGACGGCGGAGUAACACGUAGCUAACCUACCCUCUGGACGGGGAUAACCUACCGAAAGGUGGGCUAAUACCCGAUGUAGUCAUCCUGUAUAGGGGUGAUGAAAGGUGGGCUUCUGUUUACAAGCUCAUGCUGGAGGAGGGGGCUGCGGCCUAUCAGGUAGUUGGUAGGGUAAUAGCCUACCAAGCCGAUGACGGGUAGCCGGCCUGAGAGGGUGACCGGCCCGAGGGGCACUGAGAUACGGGUCCCACUCCUACGGGAGGCAGCAGGCUAGAAAUUUGGGCAAUGGGGGAAACCCUGACCCAGUGACGCCGCGUGCAGGAAGGAGCCCUUCGGGGUGUAAACUGCUGUCGUGUAGGGAGAAGGGUACUAAGGUGAACAAUCUUAGUACUUGACGGUACUACAGGAGGAAGCCCAGGCUAACCUCGUGCCAGCAGCCGCGGUAAGAGUAUCUAU
Molecule: ribosomal RNA, 524 nt
Filed under: uncultured bacterium
Lineage: Bacteria
Description: bacterial SSU rRNA
Rfam family: Bacterial small subunit ribosomal RNA
Source: RNAcentral